CUCAGCUGGCACCCAAGGGUCCUGAGGGUCCUGUUGCUGUCUUUUUCUUCUGCUUUCUCUCUCACCUACUCCCUUAGGUACCAUGUACUUGAGCCACACCAAACUUGGUACAUCUUUUCAUACCUGUGUGCUUCACACACGAAUGUCUCCAUCUGCUUUCUGUGAAUGCUGGGGCAAUAGGAUGGGCAUGGACUUGAAAUCCUGUUUCUCUGCCAUUUACAGUUAGGUGAAUGUGGGCAAGUUAACCCUCUGAGCCCCAGUUUUCUAAUCUGUAAAAUGGGAUUAGGCUUAUAUAAUGUGCCUCAGAUUGUAUGUAGCACAUGAGAGCCCCUCCCCACUCCUAAAAGUUGGUUUCUAACUCUCUUUGCAUGCCGAACUCCUAUUCAUCCUUGAAGACCCAACUCAAAUGUUACCUUCUUGGUAACAUUGCCCUCCUUCCCUUCAAGUGGGUAAAGUUUAUCUUUCUCAGUUUCUACUCUUUCCACCAGCCCUGCAUAGCACUUAUAAACCUCUGUUGGAAACACUGUCAUAUUUUUCUGUUUUCCUGGUUCACAUGAAUAAAGCACACAGCCAGAAAACAUUUGUUGCAUGAAUUAAGGCACUGGCCCCUGGGUUGAAAGCCUUUAACCCUACCCCUGCCCUGGGUCUAAGACCUUGCCCUGGGUCUAAGCCCUGGCACAAGAAUGCAGGAUCAGAGC
This 698-nucleotide small RNA is filed under the name Homo sapiens (human). Its description in RNAcentral is "partial LSINCT9 non-coding RNA". The record is from RNAcentral. Lineage: Eukaryota; Metazoa; Chordata; Mammalia; Primates; Hominidae.